RNAcentral lists this non-coding RNA (26 nucleotides) under Homo sapiens (human). Lineage: Eukaryota; Metazoa; Chordata; Mammalia; Primates; Hominidae. The record is from RNAcentral.
GCAGAGCAAGAAAAGCAGAGAUGUGG